AUUGAACGCUGGCGGCAGGCCUAACACAUGCAAGUCGAACGAGUGGCGGACGGGUGAGUAAUGUCUGGGAAACUGCCCGAUGGAGGGGGAUAAAUACUGGAAACGGUAGCUAAUACCGCAUACCAUCGGAUGUGCCCAGAUGGGAUUAGCUAGUAGGUGGGGUAACGGCUCACCUAGGCAACGAUCCCUAGCUGGGCUGAGAGGAUGACCAGCCACGAGGGAAGUGAGCCACGGUCCAGACGCCUACGGGAGGCAGCAGUGGGGAAUAUUGCACAAGGGGCGCAAUCCUGAGGCAGCCAUGCCGCGUGGAUGAAGAAGGCCUUCGGGUUGUAAAGUACUUUCAGCGGGGAGGCGUUACCCGCAGAAGAAGCCCCGGCUAACUCCGUGCCAGCAGCCGCGGUAAUAC
This 406-nucleotide ribosomal RNA is filed under the name uncultured bacterium. Its description in RNAcentral is "partial 16S ribosomal RNA". It matches the Rfam family "Bacterial small subunit ribosomal RNA", at positions 29 to 526 of the family's 1533-position model. The record is from RNAcentral.